Molecule: ribosomal RNA, 406 nt
Filed under: uncultured bacterium
Lineage: Bacteria
Description: partial 16S ribosomal RNA
Rfam family: Bacterial small subunit ribosomal RNA
Source: RNAcentral
AUUGAACGCUGGCGGCAGGCCUAACACAUGCAAGUUGAGCGGAGCGCCGGACGGGUGAGUAAUGCCUAGGAAUAUGCCUGGUAGUGGGGAUAACGUCCGGAAACGGGCGCUAAUACCGCAUACUAUUAGAUGAGCCUAGGUCGGAUUAGCUAGUUGGUGGGGUAAAGGCCUACCAAGGCGACGAUCCGUAACUGGUCUGAGAGGAUGAUCAGUCACACGGUAACUGAGAGACGGUCCAGAAUCCUACGGGAGGCAGCAGUUGGGAAUAUUGGGCAAUGGGCGAAAGCCUGAUCCAGCCAUGCCGCGUGUGUGAAGAAGGUCUUCGGAUUGUAAAGCACUUUAAGUUAGGAGGCGUUACCAGCAGAAUAAGCACCGGCUAACUUCGUGCCAGCAGCCGCGGUAAUAC